UGGUGGAGUGAUUUGUCUGGUUAAUUCCGUUAACGAACGAGACCUUAACCUACUAAAUAGUUACGCGAACAUUUGUUCGUGGCCAACUUCUUAGAGGGACUAUUCGUGUCUAGCGAAUGGAAGUUUGAGGCAAUAACA
RNAcentral lists this ribosomal RNA (138 nucleotides) under uncultured eukaryote. RNAcentral's name for it is "partial 18S ribosomal RNA". It matches the Rfam family "Eukaryotic small subunit ribosomal RNA", at positions 1299 to 1458 of the family's 1831-position model. The record is from RNAcentral.